GUGGAUUAGAUACCCUGGUAGUCCACGCCCUAAACGAUGACGACUAGUUGUUGGAGGAGUUAAAUCCUUUAGUAACGCAGCUAACGCGCGAAGUCGUCCGCCUGGGGAGUACGGUCGCAAGAUUAAAACUCAAAGGAAUUGACGGGGGCCCGCACAAGCGGUGGAUGAUGUGGUUUAAUUCGAUGCAACGCGAAAAACCUUACCUACCCUUGACAUGCUAGGAAUCCUCCAGAGAUGGAGGAGUGCCCGAAAGGGAACCUAGACACAGGUGCUGCAUGGCCGUCGUCAACU
Molecule: ribosomal RNA, 291 nt
Filed under: uncultured bacterium
Lineage: Bacteria
Description: partial 16S ribosomal RNA
Rfam family: Bacterial small subunit ribosomal RNA
Source: RNAcentral